AAGGUCCAGCCUCAUAUGUCCU
This 22-nucleotide microRNA is filed under the name Xenopus laevis (African clawed frog). Its description in RNAcentral is "Xla-Mir-2188-P1_5p (mature (guide))". The record is from RNAcentral. RNAcentral also lists the same sequence under 1 other name. Lineage: Eukaryota; Metazoa; Chordata; Amphibia; Anura; Pipidae.